ACUCCACGGGAGGCAGCAGUGGGAAUAUUGCACAAUGGGCGGAAGCCUGAUGCAGCAACGCCGCGUGAGGGAUGACGGCCUUCGGGUUGUAAACCUCUUUUAGCAAGGAAGAAGCGAAAGUGACGGUACUUGCAGAAAAGCGCCGGCUAACUACGUGCCAGCAGCCGCGGUAAUACGUAGGGCGCAAGCGUUAUCCGGAAUUAUUGGGCGUAAAGAGCUCGUAGGCGGUUUGUCGCGUCUGCUGUGAAAAUCUGGGGGC
RNAcentral lists this ribosomal RNA (259 nucleotides) under uncultured bacterium. RNAcentral's name for it is "partial 16S ribosomal RNA". It matches the Rfam family "Bacterial small subunit ribosomal RNA", at positions 335 to 609 of the family's 1533-position model. The record is from RNAcentral.